UGCCCCAUGGCUGAGUUGGUCACAGCGUCCGACUGUUACCUCUGAACAUCGGAAGGUCGUGAGUUCGAGCCUCACUGGGGCAG
This 83-nucleotide transfer RNA is filed under the name Paxillus rubicundulus Ve08.2h10. It matches the Rfam family "tRNA". Rfam says of the family: Transfer RNA (tRNA) molecules are approximately 80 nucleotides in length. Their secondary structure includes four short double-helical elements and three loops (D, anti-codon, and T loops). The record is from Rfam by way of RNAcentral. Lineage: Eukaryota; Fungi; Basidiomycota; Agaricomycetes; Boletales; Paxillaceae.